CUUGAGGAAUCAGCAUCGGCUAACUCCGUGCCAGCAGCCGCGGUAAUACGGAGGAUGCAAGCGUUAUCCGGAAUGAUUGGGCGUAAAGGGUCCGCAGGUGGUGAUUCAAGUCUGUUGUCAAAGAAUCUGGCUUAACUAGAUAAAGGCAGUGGAAACUGAAAGACUAGAGUGCAGUAGGGGUAGAGGGAAUUCCCAGUGUAGCGGUGAAAUGCGUAGAGAUUGGGAAGAACACCGGUGGCGAAAGCGCUCUGCUGGACUGCAACUGACACUGAGGGACGAAAGCUAGGGGAGCGAAUGGGAUUAGAUACCCCCAGUAGUCCA
RNAcentral lists this ribosomal RNA (321 nucleotides) under Scytonema sp. VBCCA '03 003'. RNAcentral's name for it is "bacterial SSU rRNA". It matches the Rfam family "Bacterial small subunit ribosomal RNA", at positions 478 to 797 of the family's 1533-position model. Lineage: Bacteria; Bacillati; Cyanobacteriota; Cyanophyceae; Nostocales; Scytonemataceae. The record is from RNAcentral.